RNAcentral lists this ribosomal RNA (697 nucleotides) under uncultured marine archaeon. RNAcentral's name for it is "bacterial SSU rRNA". It matches the Rfam family "Archaeal small subunit ribosomal RNA", at positions 64 to 765 of the family's 1478-position model. The record is from RNAcentral.
GUAGCAAUACAAGGCAUACGGCUCAGUAACGCGUAGUCAACCUAACCUAUGGACGGGAAUAACCUCGGGAAACUGAGAAUAAUGCCCGAUAGAACAUUAUGCCUGGAAUGGUUUAUGUUCCAAAUGAUUUAUCGCCGUAGGAUGGGACUGCGGCCUAUCAGUUUGUUGGUGAGGUAAUGGCCCACCAAGACUAUUACAGGUACGGGCUCUGAGAGGAGUAGCCCGGAGAUGGGUACUGAGACACGGACCCAGGCCCUAUGGGGCGCAGCAGGCGAGAAAACUUUGCAAUGUGCGAAAGCACGACAAGGUUAAUCCGAGUGGUUUCUGCUAAAGGAACCUUUUGUCAGUCCUAGAAACACUGAUGAAUAAGGGGUGGGCAAGUUCUGGUGUCAGCCGCCGCGGUAAAACCAGCACCUCAAGUGGUCAGGAUGAUUAUUGGGCCUAAAGCAUCCGUAGCCGGCUCUGUAAGUUUUCGGUUAAAUCUGUACGCUCAACGUACAGGCUGCCGGGAAUACUGCAAAGCUAGGGAGUGGGAGAGGUAGACGGUACUCGGUAGGAAGGGGUAAAAUCCUUUGAUCUAUUGAUGACCACCUGUGGCGAAGGCGGUCUACCAGAACACGUCCGACGGUGAGGGAUGAAAGCUGGGGGAGCAAACCGGAUUAGAUACCCGGGGUAGUCCCAGCUGUAAACCAUGCAA